This 1673-nucleotide long non-coding RNA is filed under the name Homo sapiens (human). RNAcentral describes it as "HSALNT0157498". The record is from RNAcentral. Lineage: Eukaryota; Metazoa; Chordata; Mammalia; Primates; Hominidae.
UCCUCGUGGUCGCGCACCCGGCUCACCUCAAGAACAAAGCGCGGUUUCCUCCCUCGCCAUCCUUCCUUAUGGUCGCGCACCCGGCUCACCUCAACAACAAAGCGCGGUUUCCUCCCUCGCCAUCCUUCCUCGUGGUCGCGCACCCGGUUGGAUUUCACAGUCAUGGAAGUUCUGCUUUAAAAUCCGUUUCUGAAGAAGUGUUAAUGGCAGCAGUGAGCCCCCCUGCCUCUGAUUGUCAUCUUUGGGGGCCAGAGAAGUGAGCAGCUAUCCUUCCCAGUCCCUGGUCCCUCCAAGCAGUGACAACAAAGAAUGGACCAGGCGAGGCAUUGUGUGUAGACACAUAAGAAAAACAGCAGACGAACACCAGGUGAGGGAGAGUGUAUUAAACACCUGGACGGUACUCCGCAAAUAUGACACAGUCACCAAAGACAAGUUUGAGAAUCUGUCUCAGACAAGGUCUUGACACUGCUGACCAGGGACAAAAUGUCCCAUUGACAGUCAUGCUCUGGAGCAGGAUGGGCAGUGAGAGACCAGAGACCACAGGAUGGGUAAGAAAUAGCCCAGCUCAGGCUACUGGGUUGAAGAACUGCCAGAGCGUGAUCGCCAACGUGCAGAUUUCUGAUCUACGUGUAAUGUAGAAGCUGACUGUUCUGUAUCUGACGUUUCAUUUAGAGUCUAUGAAGUAGCUUAGGCCAAUUACUCAUAGCCGCCUGCCCCUCCUCAGUUACCUGGACAUAUGUCUUGUGUUCUGGAAUCAAAACUAAUUCUGAAUGCAUAUCCUGAAAACAUGGGACACUUACUCAGAUUUCACUCUUGGGUGUCAUUGGCCUUUUAAUUAUUUUCUAUCAAUAGACCGACCUUAGAUUUACUUGUCAAAAAAAGUAAGGUCAUUUUAUGAGCACUUUCAUUCCAAUUUCCUAGAUGUCUUUUCUGAUUAGAAAAACCUAUAAACUAUGUAGCUUUGAAUUUAUAGAAUCAUUAUUCCUGAAGGUUUUGCUGUCCUUUGCGCUCAGAGAUGGUCCCACUGACUCAGAGAUGGUCCCACUGACCCAGCAUGGCAGAGCCUGUGAUUGCAGCUCCAGGGGCCCUCAAUUCAUUUGUUUCCCUGCCUCUCCAUCUCCCCAUGUUAUCCUGUCACCCCAAAAAGCACCUGCCUGCAACACGGUCAGGAAACACAAAUGCUGACCUCAAGGAGAAGCUGAAGCCAAGAGUAUUAAUCACAGUGGUGAAGAUAAGAAAGAUGACCCCAAGUAAGAAAGCCCAGAAAGGCACUUGCUGUUGACUCCCUCAGAAAGAACACCACGAAAGACCAUGGAUCAUGUAAAGAAGAAGAAGAAAGAAAGUAAGGAAGAAACACCAUACCUUGUUGAGAGCUGUAAAUGGUAUGAUAUUUUACUCCAUGUGGAGCUAACAAACUAGCCUGUCACAACUUCAAGGAUGCUGUCGGAAGACACAAGAUUCCUGGGUCAGAGCCAAAGGACCGUAUCAACGAUGGCAGUGCCUGGGCAUCCCACAUGUGUGUUUAUUCUCCUUGCCCAGAAAAAUGGUGUGGAACGCCCUCGAUGAAACGUGUACACAGUGGGUUGCAUGACAGGAGAAAAUCUCAGAGACUUAGGAACCCAAAUAUGUUAUUGUGAGCAGUGAGCAUUGCUGCCCUUGGCUCCCCGGGAAGA